RNAcentral lists this ribosomal RNA (252 nucleotides) under uncultured bacterium. Its description in RNAcentral is "partial 16S ribosomal RNA". It matches the Rfam family "Bacterial small subunit ribosomal RNA", at positions 524 to 776 of the family's 1533-position model. The record is from RNAcentral.
UACGGAGGGUGCAAGCGUUAUCCGGAUUCACUGGGUUUAAAGGGUGUGUAGGCGGGUAUUUAAGUCAGUGGGGAAUCUCCAGGCUCAACCUGGAAACUGCCAUUGAUACUAUUUAUCUUGAAUAUUGUUGAGGUAGGCGGAAUAUGUCAUGUAGCGGUGAAAUGCUUAGAUAUGACAUAGAACACCGAUUGCGAAGGCAGCUUGCUAAACAAUUAUUGACGCUGAGGCACGAAAGCGUGGGGAUCAAACAGG